UACGAAGGGGGCUAGCGUUGUUCGGAAUUACUGGGCGUAAAGCGCACGUAGGCGGACAUUUAAGUCAGGGGUGAAAUCCCGGGGCUCAACCCCGGAACUGCCUUUGAUACUGGGUGUCUUGAGUCCGGAAGAGGUGAGUGGAAUUGCGAGUGUAGAGGUGAAAUUCGUAGAUAUUCGCAAGAACACCAGUGGCGAAGGCGGCUGACUGGUCCGGUUCUGACGCUGAGGCGCGAAAGCGUGGGGAGCAAACAGG
Molecule: ribosomal RNA, 253 nt
Filed under: uncultured bacterium
Lineage: Bacteria
Description: partial 16S ribosomal RNA
Rfam family: Bacterial small subunit ribosomal RNA
Source: RNAcentral